Molecule: ribosomal RNA, 252 nt
Filed under: uncultured bacterium
Lineage: Bacteria
Description: partial 16S ribosomal RNA
Rfam family: Bacterial small subunit ribosomal RNA
Source: RNAcentral
UACGAAGGGGGCUAGCGUUGUUCGGAAUACUGGGCGUAAAGCGCGCGCAGGCGGUUCUUCAAGUCAGUGGUGAAAGCCCGGAGCUCAACUCCGGAACUGCCAUUGAAACUGUUGGACUUGAGUACGAGAGAGGUGAGUGGAAUUCCCAGCGUAGAGGUGAAAUUCGUAGAUAUUGGGAAGAACACCGGUGGCGAAGGCGGCUCACUGGCUCGUAACUGACGCUCAGGCGCGACAGCGUGGGGAUCAAACAGG